CAGCAGUCGCCACGGUAAUACGAGGGGGGCAAGCGUUGUUCGGAAUUAUUGGGCGUAAAGGGUGCGUAGGCGGCUUGAUAAGUCUUAUGUGAAAUCUAUGGGCUCAACCCAUAGUCUGCAUAGGAAACUGUCGGGCUUGAGAGUGGGAGAGGUGAGUGGAAUUUCCGGUGUAGCGGUGAAAUGCGUAGAUAUCGGAAGGAACACCUGUGGCGAAAGCGGCUCACUGGACCAUUUCUGACGCUGAUGCACGAAAGCUAGGGGAGCAAACAGGAUUAGAUACCCCGGUAGUCCCUGUCUCUUAUAC
RNAcentral lists this ribosomal RNA (304 nucleotides) under uncultured bacterium. RNAcentral's name for it is "partial 16S ribosomal RNA". It matches the Rfam family "Bacterial small subunit ribosomal RNA", at positions 506 to 807 of the family's 1533-position model. The record is from RNAcentral.